Molecule: ribosomal RNA, 539 nt
Filed under: uncultured bacterium
Lineage: Bacteria
Description: bacterial SSU rRNA
Rfam family: Bacterial small subunit ribosomal RNA
Source: RNAcentral
GAGGAAUAUUGGUCAAUGGGCGUAAGUCUGAACCAGCCAAGUAGCGUGCAGGAUGACGGCCCUAUGGGUUGCAAACUGCUUUUAUGUGGGAAUAAAGUGGCGCACGUGUGCGCCAUUGCAUGUACCUCAUGAAUAAGGACCGGCUAAUUCCGUGCCAGCAGCCGCGGUAAUACGGAAGGUCCGGGCGUUAUCCGGAUUUAUUGGGUUUAAAGGGAGUGUAGGCGGUCUGUUAAGCGUGUUGUGAAAUUUAGGUGCUCAACAUUUAACUUGCAGCGCGAACUGUCAGACUUGAGUACACGCAGCGCAGGCGGAAUUCAUGGUGUAGCGGUGAAAUGCUUAGAUAUCAUGAGGAACUCCGAUCGCGAAGGCAGCCUGCGGGAGUGUUACUGACGCUUAAGCUCGAAGGUGCGGGUAUCGAACAGGAUUAGAUACCCUGGUAGUCCGCACUGUAAACGAUGGAUGCCCGCCGUUGGCGCCCUGCGCCUGCGGCCAAGCGAAAGCAUUAAGCAUCCCACCUGGGGAGUACGCCGGCAACGGUG